RNAcentral lists this unclassified non-coding RNA (264 nucleotides) under plant metagenome. Its description in RNAcentral is "partial contains small subunit ribosomal RNA, internal transcribed spacer 1, and 5.8S ribosomal RNA". The record is from RNAcentral.
GUUCCGUAGGUGAACCUGCGGAAGGAUCAUUAUUGUAUAACCGAGGUGCGAGGGCUGUCGCUGACCCGAAAGGUCGUGCACGCCCGAGUGCCCUCACACACAUCCAUCUCACCCCUAUGUGCACCACCGCGUGGGUCCCCCUUUGGCUUGUUCGGAGGGGGGCUUACGUUUUCACACAAACUUUGUAUGCAGUGUAGAAUGUAUUUUUUUGUUUUUGCGAUCACGCAAUCAAUACAACUUUCAACAACGGAUCUCUUGGCUCUC